UGUGAGGAGGGCGGCCGCCUCUUGGAGGAACAGAAUGACACGGCUUCCCCUCCCUGGCUCAGUUAUGGAAUGUGAGGGCUGGGAAAGUGUGUGGGAAGCCAGAGGUCCCUCCCUCGUAGCACAGAGGAAAUGAUACGGGCUGUGGAGAAGGCUCCAGAAAUGGGCAUGUCAGAGGCUCUGGGGUUGGCUCCACAGCCCUGGGACAGCGCAGUCUGAGGGGUUCUCUCGGCUCUAACUCUCCCCUUUCCUUCUUAUGGCUGCCCCAUCACCGCUGCUCCUCCGGACACUGAUGCUUGCUUCCCAGAACUAGGAGACUCCACCAUUACAGGCAGCUACCAACAGGUGCCAGCAAGUCCUUCCUCUGCACCUGCAGAAGCAGCAACAGAAAAGACACAAGUGGAAGAGGAAGUGAAAACAAGGAAGCCCAAGAAGAAAACCAGGAAGUCCAGGAAGAAUGCCUAGUGGAAUAUCCUGAACUAUUGGGACAUUUUUAAUAUAUUUUAGAGACUUCUGAAGGACGAUAUUGAUGAUGAAAUAUCUUACAAAGAUCAUUUAGAGGUUUAUUUUGAACAACUGACAAUUCCAGGAAUGAUGGAAUAAAACAUAUGAAGUAGAAGGACUGGAACCUCCAGAAAAAAUACUUCAAGUUACCUACAAGUGAUCUUAGUCAGGCAAAUGAAAACAGUAGCCUAAAGUGUCAGUUUCAACCAGAAAAUAACAGCUAUGAUUUCUCAUGGCUCACACUCUUCCGAAACGACUCAGGAAGAGGCUGAGGAAGGCCAUGUUGUUUGUCUACCUGGGACUAGUAAAAAGAGAAAAGAAAGACAUUCUUGAUUUUGGUGACUAGAGUUGUAGAUGCUGGAAAGCUUUGUCACUAAAAUUGAUGAACCAGAUGUACGUCACCAGCCAAUCAUGCUGAUUCUUAAUGCCGGCACCAUGGCCUGGCACCGUCACAUUUUCCAAGGAACCUGCCGGAGCUCCGGCAGAAGCUGCUCGUUGGGCCGAUGGAGGCUCUUAGCUGGUAGGCCCUUCUUUAGUCACCACAGGAUGCCUGCCAUUCAUGAACAGAAAGGAGAGGAUGGGCUUUGAAUAAAACACAGGAUCUGGAAAAUAUUUGUGAGGCCAUUGGACUUCAGAUUUCAGUGUCAGGUGGUGUUGAAAGUUGAAGUCGUUUCUUGAAGAAGUAAACCUCUGCCACUUGGACUGUGCUCAGACAUUUCAUUGAUUUUGUUUAAUAAACAUUUUCUGGCUUUGGGAGGUGUCCCUCUUGGUGGAACACAAUGGAGUCUCACUCUGUUGCCUGGGCUGGAGUGCAAUGGCGUGAUCACUGCUCACUGCAACCUCCGCCUCCUGGGCUCAAGCAGUUCUCCUGCCUCAGCCUCCCAAGUAGCUAUAAUUACAGACGCAUGCCAGACGUUCAUUCACUCCAAGAAAAGUAACAGGCAAGGCAUGGGUUAAAAAGAAAAGAACAAGUUUUCCUCUGCUUAGCAGCUCACUUCAAGGACAGUUGUAAGAUAAGCUGUUUGAGGAGCCAAGGCCAAAGGAAUGGGCUCCAGACACCUCCCCCUUCCAGAGCAAGGUUGAAGGGAAAAAAAAAAAAAAAAAAAAAAGACAAAUUAUUUUACUGUUACUGUUUCCCCAGGCUUCUUAAGCAUGUAAAAUGUAAAUACAGACAUUUUACAAAUGUCUGUAUGUAGCCAGUUCUUGUUUUUCUUUCAAUGCAGCUACAAGGCCACCAGCUAUGCAAGGCCACAAGUUAUGCUAUACUAUAGAUUAUGUGAUCUGUCAUAUGAUUAGCUGCUUUGGUUUUAUUUAUUGUAAAGUCCACUUACAAAAACCCCACUCUGUUUAAUGUUCAGCUUUUUGGAUGCGAAUCCACUGAGCUGACGUGUACCUAAAAUAAACAAUCCUCCUGUACUCUCAUAA
Long non-coding RNA from Piliocolobus tephrosceles (Ugandan red Colobus), 1926 nucleotides. RefSeq lists it as uncharacterized. Lineage: Eukaryota; Metazoa; Chordata; Mammalia; Primates; Cercopithecidae. The record is from RefSeq and is a predicted model, not a curated record. The transcript is spliced from 9 exons.